This is a non-coding RNA of Heterocephalus glaber (naked mole-rat), 405 nucleotides long. The record is from RefSeq and is a predicted model, not a curated record. NCBI's taxonomy places the organism in Eukaryota, Metazoa, Chordata, Mammalia, Rodentia, Bathyergidae.
UUGUGAUCCUUCUGCCUCAGCCUCCUGAGUCCUGGGAUUACAGAUUAUGCAAUGGUGAAAUGAAGUAACUCAAGAUGAGCAAGUUAAAAGUGAUAUCAGAGAAAAGUACUGGGGAUCGAACUUGGGACCUUGGGCUUGCGAGGCAGGCGGCAGAACCACUGAGCUAAAUCCUCGGGCCCCUACCUUUGGUUUUUGUAUAGCCAAUAGCCCUAAUGGUUGUUACAUUGUUCUAAAAAACCCCCAAAAUUAUAAUACAGUGAACUCUUGAGUUACAGCUGGCACAAAGGAACAACUUGGGUUACAGCUGCAACUUUAGUUUUAACUUACAACCAAAGUCUUGAGUUAUAACCUGAAUGCUGGUCUUUCCUGUGUGGGGUUAAUUGAGAAAUCUUAGGCCAAUGUCUU